GACGAACGCUGGCGGCGUGCUUAACACAUGCAAGUCGAACGGAAAGGCCCUGCUUUUGUGGGGUGCUCGAGUGGCGAACGGGUGAGUAACACGUGAGUAACCUGCCCUUGACUUUGGGAUAACUUCAGGAAACUGGGGCUAAUACCGGAUAGGAGCUCCUGCUGCAUGGUGGGGGUUGGAAAGUUUCGGCGGUUGGGGAUGGACUCGCGGCUUAUCAGCUUGUUGGUGGGGUAGUGGCUUACCAAGGCUUUGACGGGUAGCCGGCCUGGGAGGGUGACCGGCCACAUUGGGACUGAGAUACGGCCCAGACUCCUACGGGAGGCAGCAGUGGAGAAUAUUGCACAAUGGGCGGAAGCCUGAUGCAGCAACGCCGCGUGCGGAAUGACGGCCUUCGGGGUGUAAACCGCUUUCGCCUGUGACGAAGCGUGAGUGACGGUAAUGAGUAAAGAAGCACCGGCUAACUACGUG
RNAcentral lists this ribosomal RNA (468 nucleotides) under uncultured bacterium. RNAcentral describes it as "partial 16S ribosomal RNA". It matches the Rfam family "Bacterial small subunit ribosomal RNA", at positions 28 to 507 of the family's 1533-position model. The record is from RNAcentral.